Long non-coding RNA from Solenopsis invicta (red fire ant), 1521 nucleotides. RefSeq lists it as uncharacterized. The transcript is spliced from 3 exons. Lineage: Eukaryota; Metazoa; Arthropoda; Insecta; Hymenoptera; Formicidae. The record is from RefSeq and is a predicted model, not a curated record.
CUUUGGACGCUCACGCACUGUAUGUACGCGCUUGUAAGCAUCAUUUCGUCCUUAUUGUUUGUCAAAUAUUAAACAAGGAUAAACGCUGAUGCUUACAAACGCUGCGAGCGCCAAAGUGAAUGCAGUCCGAAAGUGAAUACGCAUCGCGCCAUGUUUAUUUUUGAUUUCCGUUGUUGGUCAAAUGCUCCGUACUUUCUGCGUCUUUCAAAUGCAAAUUAAAGUGCGAAUUGAUACGCGUAAAAAGCAUUUUUCUCGUGCACAUUUUGCGUUUUAUUCGCGUUCGUAUGUGAUGUAUUAUGCGAGCGAUACCGGGAGUGCCGAAUAAAGUGUCAGAUGAUCAUUAAUUAUUAAUGUGCGGUUCGAGAACAGCAGAACGAGAUGUCAAUAGAAUUUCAGCGAGACGGCUCCUCGGAGCAACUCGAAUUAAUCGAAUAAGAAAUGUAGUAGCAGCAACAGCAGCAACAACAUUCGUUGGCAGAAGCGGAUCGCCAGUCGCCCCCGAGUGGCCCGAGUGCCGGCACGGUCGCGUUUGAUACCCGUUAUUGAUCGUGGAUCAAGAAGACAAUUCACCGAGAGGAGGCUCGAACGGCUCCAGCAACGGGCCCAAGGAUCACCCCAAGAAUGCUCCAAUGCCGUGGAAGUGAUCGCGAACGGCCCUCGCGAAGGAAACGAGACGAGUAUCGCGGAGUGGCGCGUUUCGAUAACUGCGUCGCGUCGCAAGCGUCGCCGUUGCGUCGUGUAUGAGGCGGCGAGAGAUAUUUCGACGGGUGAAGGACGAAAAGGACGGAAAGGACGCGUGUCGAAGGUGCGUGGCGAAGAGUGCGUAUCGAAAGCACGAAAGGUGAAGGAGGUAAUGUGGUGAAAAGUACUUUUGGAAGUGCCUCUAACGGAGUAAUGACUUCGCGAAAAUUCCGCGGUAUCUACGUGGCGCGCGGGGAACAGUAAUGGCGGGCGGGGGGAGCAACGUCUUUUCCCGGCUAAUUUCGGAGAAUCUUUCGAUGCCGUGGAAGUGGUCGCGGACAGCGAUCGCGCCCUGGCGAAUCGAAACGGAUGCCGUGGACGACAAUCCUAGUGAAACGAAACGGGCGUCGCGGUAUGCCGCGUUUUGGUGCAGGAAUUGUGUCGCGUUUUGACGGGAAGUUGUGUGUGUAUGUGUGUAUGUGAGAUACGUAGGAAAGAAAGGACGCGUGUCGAAGUGCAUAUCGAAAGUACGAAGUGAGAAAAAGUAGUGUGUGAUGAAAAGUGCUUGGAAGUGCCUGUAAUGGAAUAACGACUUCGAGAAAACUCCAAGGUGGGAACGGACGAGGGCAGCAACGUAUUUUUUCCGGAUGCUCGUCAAAAAGUAAGUCACAAUACAAAAUAUAUUGCCUUUGAUAUAAGAAUUCUUCGCGAUGUACGACGAAUAAAAUGAAUUGGAGUAAAUUAGAAACUACAAGUGAAAUUACGCGUAGAAUUUUCACUUAGAAUUUAUUUUAAAAAUCAUGAUAGCAGUGGGACAACGUGGGCUUUGGCAAAUUUUAU